Molecule: ribosomal RNA, 355 nt
Filed under: uncultured bacterium
Lineage: Bacteria
Description: bacterial SSU rRNA
Rfam family: Bacterial small subunit ribosomal RNA
Source: RNAcentral
UCCAAGGAGCUUGCUCCGAAAGAUUUAGUGGCGAACGGGUGAGUAUCACGUGAGCAACCUGCCCCGAAGAUUGGGAUAACACCGGGAAACCGGUGCUAAUACCGAAUACCCUCCACACAUCGCAUGAUGAGUAGAGGAAAUGUUUUUCGCUUCGGGAGGGGCUCGCGGUCCAUCAGCUUGUUGGCGGGGUAACGGCCCACCAAGGCUUCGACGGAUAGCUGGUCUGAGAGGACGAUCAGCCACACUGGAACUGAGACACGGUCCAGACUCCUACGGGAGGCAGCAGUGGGGAAUCUUGCGCAAUGGGCGAAAGCCUGACGCAGCAACGCCGCGUGAGGGACGAAGGCUUUCUGAG